This 503-nucleotide ribosomal RNA is filed under the name uncultured bacterium. Its description in RNAcentral is "partial 16S ribosomal RNA". It matches the Rfam family "Bacterial small subunit ribosomal RNA", at positions 29 to 523 of the family's 1533-position model. The record is from RNAcentral.
AUUGAACGCUGGCGGCAGGCCUAACACAUGCAAGUCGAACGGUAGCACAGAGAGCUUGCUCUCGGGUGACGAGUGGCGGACGGGUGAGUAACGUCUGGGAAACUGCCCGAUGGAGGGGGAUAACUACUGGAAACGGUAGCUAAUACCGCAUAACGUCGCAAGACCAAAGUGGGGGACCUUCGGGCCUCACACCAUCGGAUGUGCCCAGAUGGGAUUAGCUAGUAGGUGGGGUAAUGGCUCACCUAGGCGACGAUCCCUAGCUGGUCUGAGAGGAUGACCAGCCAAACUGGAACUGAGACACGGUCCAGACGCGUACGGGAGGCAGCAGUGGGGAAUAUUGCACAAUGGGCGCAAGCCUGAUGCAGCCAUGCCGCGUGUAUGAAGAAGGCCUUCGGGUUGUAAAGUACUUCAGCGGGGAGGAAGGCGGUGGAGUUAAUAACUUCACCGAUUGACGUUACCCGCAGAAGAAGCACCGGCUAACUCCGUGCCAGCAGCCGCGGUAA